AUGGUGCCCUCCAGCCUGCUGUGGGCCCUGGUGGCCUUCACCUGCUCUGGAUCCAGCAUGGCCCAGAAAGUUACUCAAAACCAGCCAAAUAUGUUCAAGCAAGAGGGGUCAUCAGUUGACCUGAAGUGUCAGUAUGAAACAAGUUGGACUGACUACUAUCUUUAUUGGUACAAGCAGCUUCCUGAUGGAAGAAUGACCUACAUCAUUAAACAGUAUUCUUCUACCCAAAAAAUGGGUGAAAAAAUGGGUCGCUAUUCUAUAGACUUCCAGAAAACAGCCAAUAACAUCUUCCUCAACAUUGUGUCUUUACAAUUGGAUGAUUCAGCCAAGUAUCUCUGUGCUCUCCAAGAGAGCACAGUGUUUGAAGUGAUAGUAAAAGUUGAACAAAAAACCCAGACUGAAUAA
Molecule: non-coding RNA, 405 nt
Organism: Talpa occidentalis (Iberian mole)
Lineage: Eukaryota; Metazoa; Chordata; Mammalia; Eulipotyphla; Talpidae
Source: the annotation of a RefSeq genome assembly